AGAGUUUGAUCCUGGCUCAGAACGAACGCUGGCGGCGUGCCUAACACAUGCAAGUCGUACGAGAAAUCCUGAGCAAUCGGGAGAGUAAAGUGGCGCACGGGUGAGUAACGCGUGGGUAACCUGCCCUUAAAUUUGGGAUAACUUCGCGAAAGCGGGGUUAAUACCGGAUAAUAUUCCAAUGCCUUUGGGGAUUGGAAUCAAAGAUGGCCUCUGCAUGCAAGCUAUCGUUUAAGGAUGGGCCCGCGUACCAUUAGCUUGUUGGUAGGGUAAUAGCCUACCAAGGCAACGAUGGGUAGCUGGCCUGAGAGGGUAACCAGCCACAUAGGGACUGAGACACGGCCCUAACUCCUACGGGAGGCAGCAGUUUAGAAAUUUGGGCAAUGGAGGAAACUCUGACCCAGCGACACUGCGUGAAGGAUGAAGGUCUUCGGAUUGUAAACUUCUGUUAUAGGGGACGAUAAUGACGGUACUCUAUAAGAAAGCCCUGGCUAAUUCCGUGCCAGCAGCCGCGGUAACACGGAAGGGGCAAGCGUUGUCCGGAUUUACUGGGUGUAAAGGGAAUGUAGGCGACUCAAUAAGUUGGAUGUUAAAGUUCUCUGCUCAACGGAGAAAGUGCAUCCAAAACUAUUGGGAUUGAGCAUAAGAGGAGAAAGUGGAAUUCCUGGUGUAGCGGUGGAAUGCGUGGAUAUCAGGAGGAACACUCGUGGCGAAGGCGGCUUUCUAUCUUAUUGCUGACGCUGAGGUUCGAAAGCUAGGGGAGCAAACAGGAUUAGAUACCCUGGUAGUCC
Molecule: ribosomal RNA, 788 nt
Filed under: uncultured bacterium
Lineage: Bacteria
Description: bacterial SSU rRNA
Rfam family: Bacterial small subunit ribosomal RNA
Source: RNAcentral